Molecule: ribosomal RNA, 450 nt
Filed under: uncultured bacterium
Lineage: Bacteria
Description: partial 16S ribosomal RNA
Rfam family: Bacterial small subunit ribosomal RNA
Source: RNAcentral
GUGGGGAAUAUUGGACAAUGGGCGAAAGCCUGAUCCAGCCAUGCCGCGUGUGUGAAGAAGGUCUUCGGAUUGUAAAGCACUUUAAGUUGGGAGGAAGGGCAGUAAGUUAAUACCUUGCUGUUUUGACGUUACUGACAGAAUAAGCACCGGCUAACUUCGUGCCAGCAGCCGCGGUAAUACGAAGGGUGCAAGCGUUAAUCGGAAUUACUGGGCGUAAAGCGCGCGUAGGUGGUUUUGUAAGUUGGAGGUGAAAUCCCCGUGCUCAACCUGGGAACUGCCUCCAAAACUGCAUGACUAGAGUACGGUAGAGGGUAGUGGAAUUUCCUGUGUAGCGGUGAAAUGCGUAGAUAUAGGAAGGAACACCAGUGGCGAAGGCGACUACCUGGACUGAUACUGACACUGAGGUGCGAAAGCGUGGGGAGCAAACAGGAUUAGAAACCCGGGUAGUCC